GAUAAACGCUAGCGGCAGGCCUAACACAUGCAAGUCGAGGGGUAAGGCUCUUUCGGGAGUACACGACCGGCGCACGGGUGAGUAACGCGUUUGCAACCUACCUUUAACUGGGGCAUAGCCCGGAGAAAUUCGGAUUAAUACCCCAUAAUAUCAUAAAGAGACAUCUCUUAUUGAUUAAAGCUCCGGCGGUUAAAGAUGGGCAUGCGUGUCAUUAGCUUGUUGGUGAGGUAACUGCUCACCAAGGCAACGAUGACUAGGGGGUCUGAGAGGAUGAUCCCCCACACUGGUACUGAGACACGGACCAGACUCCUACGGGAGGCAGCAGUGAGGAAUAUUGGGCAAUGGACGCAAGUCUGACCCAGCCAUGCCGCGUGCAGGAUGACGGCUCUAUGAGUUGUAAAACUGCUUUUGUUAGGGAAGAACUGUUCCUACGUGUAGGGAUUUGACGGUACCUAACGAAUAAGCAUCGGCUAACUCCGUGCCAGCAGCCGCGGUAA
This 497-nucleotide ribosomal RNA is filed under the name uncultured bacterium. Its description in RNAcentral is "bacterial SSU rRNA". It matches the Rfam family "Bacterial small subunit ribosomal RNA", at positions 28 to 523 of the family's 1533-position model. The record is from RNAcentral.